Long non-coding RNA from Prunus persica (peach), 620 nucleotides. RefSeq lists it as uncharacterized. Lineage: Eukaryota; Viridiplantae; Streptophyta; Magnoliopsida; Rosales; Rosaceae. The record is from RefSeq and is a predicted model, not a curated record. The transcript is spliced from 2 exons.
CGAGAGAUAGCCGAACGGUUAUACGAUUUAUUUUUUUAAAAAAAUAAAAAACCGAGUAUAGCCGCACGGCUGGCCUAUUUCUUUAAAAAAAAUUGUAAAACCGAUUAUAGCCUAUUUCAUACUGAUUCUGAAUUGACCGCCCUGGUUCAGUUUCUUGGAGGAAAUGUGUGGGAGGGCUCGCUGUACUCUCAGAGCCGACGACAUCCCUAGGGCUUGCCACAGCAGCCAUGGCCCCGUGUGUACUGUUAACAUGGACCGGUUUCGCCCGCUGUUCAAUGCGUCGCCGGGGUCGAAUUUACCUGUGUUCGUAGAGAAGACGGAGCAGACGGUGACGGCGUUGUUGUUCACUGUAUGAAAUGGGGGCUGAUCCCUAGUUUCACCAAGAAAACCGAGAAGCCCGAUCACCAUAAGAUGGUAAUAGUAGUUACAUUUGUGGUUGAUGCUUUCCAGUGAUGGUAGUUUAAAUUUGUUGUCUUUCUUAAAAUUUCAAUCUCGAUUUUCCAUAUAAGUAAAGCUUGGAUUGCGUUGAGAUGUGAUUUGUGUUUGAAGAAAACCGAGUAUAGCCGCGCGGCUAUCCUUCGCUGUUAAAAAAUUUGAAAAAUCGAGAUAGCAUUUCUAAA